CAGGAAACUACCUGAAGCCCCGGGAACUGAUGCAGCCAAUCAAGAUCCGUCGAAAGAAGCGAGGGCAGAGCGAGGGGUAGGAGAUCACUGGUGUGGGGAGAGGGGUGGAGCCUCGCUGCAGGGCAGAAGAGGAGGGAGGGGCCAACAGAAUGCAUGGCAGCAGCUUACCCCGUCCUCUGCCUCAGGAUGGCUUCCCAGUGAUAAAGUGGCAGAGAGGUCAGGUCAAACCCAUCCCCUUCCAUUUCCUACCCAUGUAAUUCUACUAGGCUCUGACCUACAAACCAUCACCAUUCAACCCCGCCCCACCUCCAUCCCCACCUCGACCCCCCUUUCCUCACGUCACGGCCCCUUUCCUGGCCCCCACCCAGGCCUUCCUACACCCUGCCCCUUUCCCCUGUGGUGCCCCCCCACACACACCUCUAAUCCUGGGCAGAGUAACACACAACUUGCCCAGGUAUACACGCCUCAACCAGAACACAGCAACAAACCUCUAACCCUGGGCAGAGUAACACACACCUGGCCCAGGUAUACACACCUCAACCAGAACACAGCAACAAACCUCUAACCCUGGGCAGAGUAACACACACCUGGCCCAGGUAUACACGCCUCAACCAGAACACAGCAACAAACCUCUAACCCUGGGCAGAGUAACACACACCUGGCCCAGGUAUACACGCCUCAACCAGAACACAGCAACACACCUCUAACCCUUAGACUGGAGAAGAAAGACUAAGGCGUUACCAGGGGUGGAGUCUCGAAGGGCAACGGCCCAAUCAGACCAAAGCCCGGCCAGCAGCAGAGUCUGACACUACCCAGAAAUCCCCACCCCUACCCAAUCCCCCAAUCAGAACCCCCGAGAAGCUCAGACGUGAGAGUGCUAAGCCAAUCAGACAGAGCGAGAAGAAUGUGAGGGGACUGUCUGGGGCAGUGGCUAUUGUGAAGAGAGAGAGAGGCAGACCGAAGGUUACUAGCUCUCCAGCUACACCUGUACAGACCAGCCUUGCAGAACAGAUCAGCCUAGAGGGAGAAACAAGGAGGAGGAAGAAAAAGAGGAGAGUAGAAGCCUCAGCUGGGGUGGGAGAAAGGACCAGAGCCAGGGAGGACAAGCAAGAAACAGAGCCAGCGAGGACAAGCGAGAAACAGAGCCAGCGAGGACAAGCGAGAAACAGAGCCAGCGAGGACAAGCGAGAAACAGAGCCAGC
Oncorhynchus tshawytscha (Chinook salmon) is the source of this 1202-nucleotide long non-coding RNA. The record is from Ensembl. NCBI's taxonomy places the organism in Eukaryota, Metazoa, Chordata, Actinopteri, Salmoniformes, Salmonidae.